Long non-coding RNA from Gadus macrocephalus (Pacific cod), 382 nucleotides. RefSeq lists it as uncharacterized. NCBI's taxonomy places the organism in Eukaryota, Metazoa, Chordata, Actinopteri, Gadiformes, Gadidae. The transcript has 3 exons. The record is from RefSeq and is a predicted model, not a curated record.
GCCUCUAUCAACGUGACUCAAGCCUCUGACAUCUCUGAGAAGCUUGCUUCCAGUCAAAGCAACAACUCCAUGAUGCCCAUUCAUCACAAUCAAAAUGUUUCACAAACAUCGCCAAGUAAAGGCUGCAGGAAACACUAUAAGGCCGUUGGACUACAAUUGCUUAAGGCAAUCUCAAAUUACAAGGAUGUUAAAGAAGUAAGCCGAGAGUCGGAUCAGGUGAACGCCAAGGCAUCAUCAGGAACUGACCCCAAAGCAGUCGGGGCUGCUUUGGAUGCCAACGAUUUAGCCGCGCUGAAUAAUGUUUUAACUGGACAACAGCAUAAUGGACAAGAAACUGACUAUAACGAAUGUAUGCCUUGAUAAUAAAACCUUUUAAUUUAUA